Molecule: long non-coding RNA, 2832 nt
Organism: Puntigrus tetrazona (Sumatra barb)
Lineage: Eukaryota; Metazoa; Chordata; Actinopteri; Cypriniformes; Cyprinidae
Exons: 3
Source: RefSeq, a predicted model, not a curated record
ACAAACCCCAGCAAUGGGAACUUUCAGUGAAUAUCCUUUUCAGCCUCCACACCUACUAUCUGUUUUGCUUUCUCUUUUUUUUUUUUUUUUUUUUUUUUUCUCCCUCGUUCAUCUCUGAGCUCGGGGAAAGUGAAGAGUGACCUAACAUUUACCGAGCCCUUCUCACUUGACUGUGAUCGUUCUCCACACACACUUCAAAGGUCACCGGAUGUUCCCAAUUCAAAGCUGAGCAAACGGCAAAGUUUAAGAGAGCAGAUGAUAGGGGGGGAAGUGGAUGAAAAGAAGCACAAAGGAGGUAAACAACCAAAACCCUCUGAAACAAGACCCGUGGCAGAGUCGUAUGGACCUCGGUGGAUGUGCGGGUCGAGCAUCACAGCGCAGAGACGCUUCCUCCGCGCCGUGUCCCUGGGCUGCUGCUGCAACUCAACACCAGCUUUAUCGAUCGGACUCCUAAGCCUCCACCAACCUGGUCAAACCCGAGUCCUUUCUGAUAUUUACCCACUAAAGUAUUCCCUUCUGCUAGCGCUGCCAACCCACAAGACAUGGAGGGAGGAAAAAAAGUCAAUUAUAUACAACGUGCUUGGUUUCCCCUCAAGGAUGGAAUCCACCCUUUCUAAUCCGAUCAAUUCAUGUCAGACAGGAGGCUGGAUUCAGUGCUAUCUCUGAAGUCCUGUAAUCCAGGCUAAGUCUUCACACUGCCUGCCUCACCUCCACAAGAAAAGGGUUUGGUCCAGAGCGUGAUACAGCAAAUUAGUCGUAGUGUACAUUUAGACACACUGCAGUGGAAGAGUGCCAGUGUGCUAACAGCUAAGCAUAAUUGGAUAAGCAAUUCAGCUAAUUCCUAUAGUCAAUACUACAGCUGGCACAUGCAAUAUAGGGGGACUGGGGCUAGUUGUCACACUUUUUGCUUUCGUUUUAUUUUUGAAAGUCAGAUUCUAUAUUAGCAGGUGUGUUGAAACAAAUAAAACAAUACAUGUCGUUUCAUAAUCUUUUUAUUUUUUGAAAUUCAAUUUCUCUAAAAGCAGGCAUGCUGAAAUGAAACAAUAAAAAUAUAUGUAUAUGCCAUUUCAUAGUAUCAUAAUAAACGGUAACAAAAACAUAUCAAACCAUAUAAUAUAUAACCAUUGUUUUAGCCACAAAUACUGUGCUUAAUAAACUCUAUAAUUUUACAAUUUUUAAAAGCAUGAAAACUUGCCUCAACCUGAACUAAUCUUUCAAUUAAAAAUCUACCUUCAUUAUACACUUGACUCUUGUCUGAAUGCUUAAUUAUAUUCACUUGUUUAAACGUUAAGGUGAAGAUAAGAUGCCGUAAUUAAUUUGGUUGAAAUAAUUCAGACAAAAAAAAAAAUGUAUAUAUUUUUUAAUUAAAGAGGUUUUUAAAAUGUGUGACAAUUAGCCCCAGCCUCCCAUAUUGUAGACAUUCAGCAAGGUACGAUGUGAUUUUUUUUUGUACUUUUAGCCACUGGUGAACUAUAUCCAAGCAGUAUAUAACUUUGAAGUAUUUGGCUGGUGGUAAGACAUGGGAAGGUGUCCCAUUACAGACAUGCAAAGGCUAACGGCCAGUGCGCACGGUAAAUGAGCAGGAACGAGGAGAGAGUGCUGGGACACUUUAAUUUCCACUGACAUAUUGUGCUUCAUGUACAGUCUGAAUGGCUCCAUAAAGAAAGUGUAAUGAUGGUCCAGGACCCUGGCCAAAUAGCUGACAUGCACGGCUUCCCUGGUCAGCUCAGCACCGGGUUUGAUCCGUCUCAUUACACCAGUCAUUCAAAUAAUGGGCAGCUAUGGGAGCUCUGGUAAAGCUGCAACUAAUACACAUGCCAAAGUCUACAUCAGAGCAGUUCAUUCUCGCUGUCUGCUUAGUAUGCACAGGUGUUCGGGGGCCGAGAAAGAAACGUAUAAAUCUACAUUUUUAAUUUAUAACAUACUGCAAUAAAAUUAUAUAAACAGAUAUAAAAAGCUUAUUUUAAAAUUAUAUAUAACAAAAAACACUAUAUUAAAUCAUUUAUCUAAUUGGCAUUAUUUAAAAACUAAAUUGAAAGUACAUAUUAGUAAAACAAAAAAAAACAUUCAAUACUCUUAAUAUAAUAAUUUUCUGAAAUGUCCUCUAAAACUUACAAAUACUAAAAAAAAUGCAUUACAAUCAAGAAAGUUCUAAUCUGAUCAUAUAGGAGAAACUGAAGAAAGCUUAGAUAAAUCAUCACCUAUAAAAAGAUCUCACCAGCCACCGUCUAGCAAUAACGAUAUAUUUUUUCAAACCGGUUCGUAAAAACAGCAUUAAAGCUUGUCUGCCGAGAUCGGAAAAGAACAAUAGCUCCUUAUUCUCAUUCAGAUGAAUGCAUGGCAAGGAGAGGGAGAGGCGCGAUAAAUCGGCCACCCCUGCUCUUGUCUCGCUUCAAAAGAAUCUGUUAGAGAGAGAGGGAGAGGGAAAAAAAAAAAAGCAGGGAGCAAGACCCACACGAUGUAGUUCCAGCCAAUUGCAUUCCAGAGAAGUGACCAUGGCUGGAGAUAAACAAUGCACAAUAGAUCACGCUCUUCAAAAGGUAUAAAAGAAAGGCAGAUGCCGCAGGAAUAAGGCAAUAGCGGGAGAAAAGAAAUAAUCCGCGUUUCUCCAGCAAUUCCGAAAAGCAUAAUUGUUUAAAUCCUUUAUUCAGGAUUGCCAUUAACCCUGUGCAGUGUACGGCUGCAACAAUCUGCAUGUGAAGGGAAAUAGGAACCUCUCGCUCUCUCUCUUUCUCUCUCCCUAUGUGAGGUUGCCAGGCUCACCCUCUCCAAACCACAGACAGAGCCAAAAUCGCUUUAAAUUGUUCCUCACUGUCGCAAACAAAAAAAGCA